UACGGAAGGCAGCAGUGGGGAAUAUUGGACAAUGGGCGCAAGCCUGAUCCAGCCAUGCCGCGUGAGUGAUGAAGGCCCCUAGGGUUGUAAAGCUCUUUUGUGCGGGAAGAUAAUGACGGUACCGCAAGAAUAAGCCCCGGCUAACUUCGUGCCAGCAGCCGCGGUAAUACGAAGGGGGCUAGCGUUGCUCGGAAUCACUGGGCGUAAAGGGUGCGUAGGCGGGUCUUUAAAGUCAGGGGUGAAAUCCUGGAGCUCAACUCCAGAACUGCCUUUUGAUACUGAAGAUCUUGAGUUCGGGAGAGGUGAGUGGAACUGCGAGUGUAGAGGUGAAAUUCGUAGAUAUUCGCAAGAACACCAGUGGCGAAAGGCGGCUCACUGGCCCGAUACUGACGCUGAGGCACGAAAGCGUGGGGAGCAAAACAGGGAUUAGAUACC
RNAcentral lists this ribosomal RNA (435 nucleotides) under uncultured bacterium. RNAcentral's name for it is "bacterial SSU rRNA". It matches the Rfam family "Bacterial small subunit ribosomal RNA", at positions 340 to 786 of the family's 1533-position model. The record is from RNAcentral.